AGAGUUUGAUCCUGGCUCAGGACGAACGCUGGCGGCGUGCUUAACACAUGCAAGUCGAACGGUCCAGCACUCAACUUAGUGCUCAUAAGAUAUAGAGUUUUAAUUAGAGGAAGCGAUAUAUCUGGUGAGUAGCAAGUUGAGUGCUGGAUAGUGGCGGACGGGUGAGUAACGCGUGGAUAACCUGCCUAUAUGACCGGGACAACACCGGGAAACUGGUGCUAAUACCGGAUACGCUCGCGGAGGCACAUGCUUUUGUGAGGAAAGGAGCAAUCCGCAUAUAGAUGGGUCCGCGUCCCAUUAGCUAGUUGGCGGUGUAAAAGACCACCAAGGCGACGAUGGGUAGCCGGCCUGAGAGGGUGGACGGCCACACUGGAACUGAGACACGGUCCAGACUCCUACGGGAGGCAGCAGUGGGGAAUCUUCCGCAAUGGGCGCAAGCCUGACGGAGCAACGCCGCGUGAGUGAAGAAGGCUUUCGGGUUGUAAAACUCUGUCUUCAGGGAAGAAGAAAGUGACGGUACCUGAGGAGGAAGCCCCGGCUAACUACGUGCCAGCAGCCGCGGUAAAACGUAGGGGGCGAGCGUUGUCCGGAAUUACUGGGCGUAAAGGGCGCGUAGGCGGUUUCUUAAGUCAGAGGUGAAAACUACCGGCUUAACCGGUAGCCUGCCUUUGAAACUGGGGAACUUGAGGGCAGGAGAGGGGAGUGGAAUUCCCAGUGUAGCGGUGAAAUGCGUAGAUAUUGGGAGGAACACCAGUGGCGAAGGCGGCUCUCUGGCCUGUUUCUGACGCUGAGGCGCGAAAGCGUGGGGAGCAAACGGGAUUAGAUACCCCGGUAGUCCACGCCGUAAACGAUGGGUGCUAGGUGUAGGAGGUAUCGACCCCUUCUGUGCCGUAGUUAACACAAUAAGCACCCCGCCUGGGGAGUACGGCCGCAAGGUUGAAACUCAAAGGAAUUGACGG
RNAcentral lists this ribosomal RNA (959 nucleotides) under uncultured bacterium. RNAcentral describes it as "bacterial SSU rRNA". It matches the Rfam family "Bacterial small subunit ribosomal RNA", at positions 8 to 916 of the family's 1533-position model. The record is from RNAcentral.